GCCCGGAUAGCUCAGUGGUAGAGCAGUCCCUUCGUAAGGGAAAGGUCAACGGUUCAAAUCCGUUUCCGGGCU
This 72-nucleotide transfer RNA is filed under the name archaeon. RNAcentral describes it as "tRNA-Thr". It matches the Rfam family "tRNA". From Rfam's summary of the family: Transfer RNA (tRNA) molecules are approximately 80 nucleotides in length. Their secondary structure includes four short double-helical elements and three loops (D, anti-codon, and T loops). The record is from RNAcentral.